GAAUUUGAGGUCAGAGAUGCACAUGUGAACUUCCCCAUCAGGUUAUCAACUAGAAGCUGUGGGUGUGGGAAGUGGCAAAUUUCUGGAAUCCCCUGCAAGCAUGCACUCAGGGUGAUUUAUGACCAAAGGCUGAACCCCAUUGAUUUUGUCUCCCCAUUCUUCAAGUCUGCUGCAUACAAGCUUACAUAUGCAGACCACAUUCACCCCAUGUCAGACCCAACACAGUGGCCUAACUUUUCUCUCCCUACCAUUCAGCCUCCAGUCAUCAAAAGACAAGCUGGCAGACCUGCUAAGAAGAGAAAGAGAGGACCAAAUGAACCCAGGAAGGGGAAGAGGAACAGCAAUGUGAAAUGUGGAAAGUGCAGGGAGUUUGGUCAUAACUCAAGGACAUGUAAGAAUGGAGGACCAAGCACUGGACCAAGCACUUCAGCAGCAGCAGGAGCAAGUACAUCACAAGGGGGUCCAAGGGGGAGGAAAAGAGCAAACACAGCAACUUAACCAUGCACAAAGUUAAAAGUUAGUUAGUUUUUGGUGAAUUGUAGGUGCACAAAGUUAAAAUAGCUUAGGCAAUUUACAGUUAGUAUCACUUUUUGGAAAGAACACAAUUGCUUAGACAAGAUGUUUUUGUGCAGUUUCAGUGGCAUUUGUCCACUUAGAAAUCAGUUUUUGUAAAGCUCAUAUGCUUAAACAAGUGAUGUUAUUGCUUGAAAUUUGUUACAACUCUACUUCAUUGCUAUCCAAAUUAGAAAUGCAAACAUUAUUACACCAAUUUUUAUUGCAAACUUGAAUUGUUGUUUCUGUUGUUUCAGUUUCUUCUUCAAUAGCUUCAACUCUUCAUGCAUUCCGAUCCCCUGCUUCCUUCUUGCAUUCCCCUGUUUUCUUCUUGCAUUCCCCUGUUUUCAUCAGCUCUGUUUCCCUUGCUUUGAGCUUCAUCAAAUGUCUGCUCAACAAAACCUUUGCACCACUUGAAAUUAUCACAAGGAUCACACUUGUAGUAAAGCUUUUGCGGAUUUUUAGCCGUUUCCGAGCUCCUAAUUGCAAAUCUUCUCCCACAAUUGCAAUUUUUAUUUGGAACUCUUAGGUAUGACAAAUUUGGGAUGGAAGAGGAUCCGGUUUUUGAAUUAGAACUCAUGGCUAUUUAGGAAAUAGAGGGCUAAACAUGGAGCAAGUCAAGUGAACAACAGCCUUACUUAUAGGCAGCAUGAACAUAACGGCUAUAUUGAAUUAAAACUAGCCGUUGGAUUCAAAUUAUGAAGUUUGGGUAUUUGGUGCAAAGAACUUUACAAAUAGGUGUAUACUAUGCAAAACCUUUAUAUUUAGGUGCAUUUUAUGAAUUUUAAACAUGACUUAACGGAGGACUAACGGAAAGUCAUAAUAGGUGUAUUUGGUGAACAGUUUUGAGUAAAUAGGGGUAUUUUAUGAAUUUUGAAACGCGCAGGUGUAUUUGGUGCAUUAUUGCAAACCUCAGGGGCAUUUCAUGAAAAAACCGUUUUUAAUAAGGUGCUCAAAACCCUAACAGAGGAAUCUCUAGGCUUUGUUCGAGAAAUUUUAUUAAUUUGUGCGAUUGAAGAAGAAAAUGGGUCAGAUCCAGUACUCUGAGAAGUACUUUGAUGAUACGAAUACAGGCAUGUAGUUAUGCCAGCUGAAGUUACUAAACUUCUUCUGGAGAAUUGCGGCGUGUGUUAGGUUCUGAGAUAUAUCAUGAGAUGGUGGCAAAAGCAUUAUAAGUCUUCUCUUCUUUCUUCCGUUCAAACAGAAUUACAGAAGUUUUGGUGAAGCUUAGGAUUUGUGGCCACUUCUCUCAUUUGAAGCUUAAUGGUCAUUAUCGAUGAACUGAAAUUGCCAGCGUGUCAUUAUUGCCGCUUGUCGUCCCUUGGAGAUGAGACAACUUCGCGCUGAAAUUGGCACCGUCUCUAAAGCUGACGGGUAAUUUCCUAGAUUUUUUUCCAAUUUUAUUUUAAUUGUGUUUGGCAAUGAUAGAAAUUAUAAGUUUGAAUUUGGUAAUUGGGUGUAGCUCAGCUGUUUUCGA
This is a long non-coding RNA of Spinacia oleracea (spinach), 2029 nucleotides long. RefSeq lists it as uncharacterized. Lineage: Eukaryota; Viridiplantae; Streptophyta; Magnoliopsida; Caryophyllales; Amaranthaceae. The transcript has 4 exons. The record is from RefSeq and is a predicted model, not a curated record.